CAGCAAGUUCCUGGGAGGCAGUGGUUUGCAAGAUAUGUGAAUGCACAGAGAGUGAUUUCCAAAAAGGUUGAUGAAUCAAUAUUUUUCCGUCUGGUGCAAUAUUUUGCUGUGGUGCUGUUUGAAUGUAACGAAGCAGAAGACUUUGUUCCCGCCAAAAACCUCAUGAAUAUGUGCUUCACUUUUUACCAUGAAUCUCAGCAUGGCCGCCACCGGUACAAGAAUUUUCUGUAUAGUUAUUUAAGAGAACAGCCUAUAUGGCGGUCUCUCAGGUUUUGGAAUGCUGCUUUCUUUGAUGCUGUCCAAAAUGAGCGAGCCAGAAAACCAGUGUGUACCAGGUAAUUGGUGUUUAUUUA
Long non-coding RNA from Ruditapes philippinarum (Manila clam), 353 nucleotides. RefSeq lists it as uncharacterized. The record is from RefSeq and is a predicted model, not a curated record. Lineage: Eukaryota; Metazoa; Mollusca; Bivalvia; Venerida; Veneridae. The transcript has 3 exons.